AGCAGCUUGCUGCUUUGCUGACGAGUGGCGGACGGGUGAGUAAUGUCUGGGAAACUGCCUGAUGGAGGGGGAUAACUACUGGAAACGGUAGCUAAUACCGCAUAACGUCGCAAGACCAAAGAGGGGGACCUUCGGGCCUCUUGCCAUCGGAUGUGCCCAGAUGGGAUUAGCUAGUAGGUGGGGUAACGGCUCACCUAGGCGACGAUCCCUAGCUGGUCUGAGAGGAUGACCAGCCACACUGGAACUGAGACACGGUCCAGACUCCUACGGGAGGCAGCAGUGGGGAAUAUUGCACAAUGGGCGCAAGCCUGAUGCAGCCAUGCCGCGUGUAUGAAGAAGGCCUUCGGGUUGUAAAGUACUUUCAGCGGGGAGGAAGGGAGUAAAGUUAAUACCUUUGCUCAUUGACGUUACCCGCAGAAGAAGCACCGGCUAACUCCGUGCCAGCAGCCGCGGUAAUACGGAGGGUGCAAGCGUUAAUCGGAAUUACUGGGCGUAAAGCGCACGCAGGCGGUUUGUUAAGUCAGAUGUGAAAUCCCCGGGCUCAACCUGGGAACUGCAUCUGAUACUGGCAAGCUUGAGUCUCGUAGAGGGGGGUAGAAUUCCAGGUGUAGCGGUGAAAUGCGUAGAGAUCUGGAGGAAUACCGGUGGCGAAGGCGGCCCCCUGGACGAAGACUGACGCUCAGGUGCGAAAGCGUGGGGA
RNAcentral lists this ribosomal RNA (700 nucleotides) under uncultured bacterium. Its description in RNAcentral is "bacterial SSU rRNA". It matches the Rfam family "Bacterial small subunit ribosomal RNA", at positions 74 to 767 of the family's 1533-position model. The record is from RNAcentral.